Molecule: ribosomal RNA, 706 nt
Filed under: uncultured bacterium
Lineage: Bacteria
Description: bacterial SSU rRNA
Rfam family: Bacterial small subunit ribosomal RNA
Source: RNAcentral
ACGUGCUUAACACAUGCAAGUCGAACGAGAACGGGAUUCUUCGGAAGCCUUAUUAAAGUGGCGCACGGGUGAGUAACGCGUAGAUAAUCUACCUUUAUGACUGGGAUAACGGACCGAAAGGUCCCCUAAUACCGGAUACGCUCUUUUUAACAUAAGUUAGGAAGAAGAAAGAUGGCCUCUCCUUGGAAGCUAUUGCUUGAAGAUGAGUUUGCGUACCAUUAGCUAGUUGGUGGGGUAAGAGCCUACCAAGGCAACGAUGGUUAGCGGGUCUGAGAGGAUGAUCCGCCACACUGGAACUGAAACACGGACCAGACUCCUACGGGAGGCAGCAGUGAGGAAUUUUGCGCAAUGGGGGAAACCCUGACGCAGCGACGUCGCGUGGACGAUGAAGGCCUUAGGGUUGUAAAGUCCUGUCAGAAGGGAAGAAGUGCAUAUGUGCUAAUACCACAUAUGUUUGACGGUACCUUCAAAGGAAGCACCGGCUAACUCCGUGCCAGCAGCCGCGGUAAUACGGAGGGUGCAAGCGUUAAUCGGAAUUACUGGGCGUAAAGGGCGCGUAGGCGGCCUAUUAAGUCAGGUGUGAAAUCCCACGGCUCAACCGUGGACGUGCAUCUGAAACUGGUAGGCUUGAGUAUGGGAGAGGAAAGUGGAAUUCCCGGUGUAGAGGUGAAAUUCGUAGAUAUCRGGAGGAACACCGAUGGCGAAG